Molecule: ribosomal RNA, 497 nt
Filed under: uncultured bacterium
Lineage: Bacteria
Description: partial 16S ribosomal RNA
Rfam family: Bacterial small subunit ribosomal RNA
Source: RNAcentral
GAUGAACGCUGGCGGCGUGCCUAAUACAUGCAAGUCGAGCGAACGGACGAGAAGCUUGCUUUUCUGAUGUUAGCGGCGGACGGGUGAGUAACACGUGGAUAACCUACCUAUAAGACUGGGAUAACUUCGGGAAACCGGAGCUAAUACCGGAUAAUAUUUUGAACCGCAUGGUUCAAAAGUUAAAGACGGUCUUGCUGUCACUUAUAGAUGGAUCCGCGCUGCAUUAGCUAGUUGGUAAGGUAACGGCUUACCAAGGCAACGAUGCAUAGCCGACCUGAGAGGGUGAUCGGCCAGACUGGAACUGAGGCACGGCACAGACUCCGACAGGGGGCAGCGGUAGGGACUCUUCCGGGAUGCGGGAGAGCGUAACGGAGCAACGCCGCGUGAAGGAUGAAGCUCUUCGGAUCGUAAAACUCUGUUAUUAGGGAAGAACAUAUGUGUAAGUAACUGUGCACAUCUUGACGGUACCUAAUCAGAAAGCCACGGCUAACUACGUG